UACGUAGGGUGCAAGCGUUGUCCGGAAUUAUUGGGCGUAAAGAGCUCGUAGGCGGUCUGUCGCGUCGGCUGUGAAAUCCCGAGGCUCAACCUCGGGUCUGCAGUCGAUACGGGCAAACUGGAGUGUUGCAGGGGAGACUGGAAUUCCUGGUGUAGCGGUGAAAUGCGCAGAUAUCAGGAGGAACACCGGUGGCGAAGGCGGGUCUCUGGGCAACAACUGACGCUGAGACGCGAAAGCAUGGGGAGCGAACAGG
RNAcentral lists this ribosomal RNA (253 nucleotides) under uncultured bacterium. RNAcentral's name for it is "partial 16S ribosomal RNA". It matches the Rfam family "Bacterial small subunit ribosomal RNA", at positions 524 to 776 of the family's 1533-position model. The record is from RNAcentral.